UAAAUAGUCAGGCUGGCUUUUGCUGGUCGCAGACUUCUUAGAGGGACUGUCAGUGUCUAACUGACGGAAGUUUGAGGCAAUAACAGGUCUGGAUGCCCUUAGAUGUUCUGGGCCGCACGCGCGCUACACUGACAGAGCCAGCGAGUAUCUCCUUGGCCGGAAGGUCUG
RNAcentral lists this ribosomal RNA (168 nucleotides) under Pseudobaeospora sp. Its description in RNAcentral is "partial small subunit ribosomal RNA". It matches the Rfam family "Eukaryotic small subunit ribosomal RNA", at positions 1352 to 1544 of the family's 1831-position model. The record is from RNAcentral. Lineage: Eukaryota; Fungi; Basidiomycota; Agaricomycetes; Agaricales; Tricholomataceae.